RNAcentral lists this long non-coding RNA (359 nucleotides) under Nicotiana benthamiana. RNAcentral's name for it is "long non-coding RNA (NBEN_LNC038056)". The record is from RNAcentral. Lineage: Eukaryota; Viridiplantae; Streptophyta; Magnoliopsida; Solanales; Solanaceae.
ACUGAAGCUCGGCUACUUGAUAAAAUACAGGGACACGUAAAAGCUCCAAAACAAUCAGAUGUUGAAGACAAACCCAGAAAUCAACGCAACCAAAGAAAAAAUCGGGAAAAAACCAACAGUGAUAUUGAUUUCUUAGCCAAGAAAAAUGUUAAGAGACUACUCCUUUCCUUUCUUUUAAAUCUACUUCCAUCACUUUCGGUUUUCUUCAUUCUUUGAUGGUCUUUUUUAUUGUAUUUUAGCUACCCAGCCUCUUUCAGUCAAAAAGCUUUAGAAAUGAAGAUUCCGAUCUGUGUAGUGAAUAAAAUGGAAAAGUCGUUCCCCCUCUAGAAUGAAAAAGGGAUUUAGGAUCUGAUCUUUUU